Molecule: ribosomal RNA, 253 nt
Filed under: uncultured bacterium
Lineage: Bacteria
Description: partial 16S ribosomal RNA
Rfam family: Bacterial small subunit ribosomal RNA
Source: RNAcentral
UACGUAGGGCGCAAGCGUUGUCCGGAAUUAUUGGGCGUAAAGAGCUCGUAGGCGGCCUGUUACGUCUGCUGUGAAAUCCCGGGGCUUAACCCCGGGCGUGCAGUGGAUACGGGCAGGCUGGAGGCAGGCAGGGGAGAACGGAAUUCCCGGUGUAGCGGUGAAAUGCGCAGAUAUCGGGAGGAACACCGGUGGCGAAGGCGGUUCUCUGGGCCUGUACUGACGCUGAUGAGCGAAAGCCAGGGGAGCAAACGGG